RNAcentral lists this ribosomal RNA (225 nucleotides) under uncultured marine eukaryote. Its description in RNAcentral is "partial 18S ribosomal RNA". It matches the Rfam family "Eukaryotic small subunit ribosomal RNA", at positions 1210 to 1456 of the family's 1831-position model. The record is from RNAcentral.
GAAACUCACCCGGCCCGGACACAGGAAGGAUUGACAGAUUGAGAGCUCUUUCUUGAUUCUGUGGGUGGUGGUGCAUGGCCGUUCUUAGUUGGUGGAGCGAUUUGUCUGGUUAAUUCCGAUAACGAACGAGACUCUGGCAUGCUAAAUAGUUACGCGACCUUCUCGGUCGGCGUCUAACUUCUUAGAGGGACUAGUGGCGUUUAGCCACACGAGAUUGAGCAAUAA